Molecule: non-coding RNA, 1252 nt
Organism: Picea glauca (white spruce)
Lineage: Eukaryota; Viridiplantae; Streptophyta; Pinopsida; Pinales; Pinaceae
Source: Rfam
ACCAAGGAUUCUAGCAUGAGUGUGCGUUGGUGGGUUUGUAAACUUGUAAGGCGUAAGGAAGCUGACGGGCGAGAUCUCCCCUUGAUGAGGUGCAUUGUCGACUGACCUUGAACUUGUGCAAAGGGUUCAAGUGCGAGCACACCUGUUGGGAUCUGAAAUAUGGUGAACUAUGCAUGAGCAGGGUGAAGCCAGAGGAAACUCGGGUGGAGGCCCAUAGCGAUACUGGCAUGCAAAUCAUUUGUCUCACUUGGGUAUAGGGGUGAAAGACUAAUUGAACCAUCUAGUAGUCGGUUUCCUCUUAAGUUUCCCUUGGGAUAGCUAGAGCUUACAUGCAAGUUUUAUCAGUUAAAGAAAAUGAUUAGAGACAUCAAGGGCGUAAUGUCCUCGACCUAUUCUCAAAAUUUAAAUAGGUAAGAUGGCGUGGUUGAUCCAUUGAGCCAUGCCAUGUAAUCUAGAGCUCCAAGUGGGCCAUUUUCGGUAAGCAGAACUGGCGAUGUGGGAUGAACCAAAAGUCCAAUUACUGCACCAAACUGUGCACUAACCCAAAUCCCACAAAGGGUGUUGGUUGCUUAAGACAGUAGGUCAGUGGUCAUGGAAGCUGAAAUCUACUAAGGAGUGUGUAACAACUCACCUUUUGAAUCAACUAGCCCUGAAAAGGGAUGGUUUUGAAGUGUGCAACCUUUACUCGGUCGUCAAAGAAAUUGCUAGGCUUCGAUGAGUAGGAGGACGUGGGGGUCGUUAAGAAACCUUGGGUGUGAGCUUAGGUGGACCGACCCCCGGUGCAGAUCUUGGUGGUAGUAGAAAAUAUUCAAAUGAGAACUUUGAAUACUGAAGUGGGGAAAGGUUCCAUGUGAAUAACACUUGGACAUGGAUUUGUCAAUCCUAAGAUAUGGAGAAACCAUUCAUCAAGGUUGCACUCUGCAUGAACAUCAAAAGGGAAUCGAUUUAAUAUUCCAGAACUAGGACAUGGCAGUGGAUGACAACAUUAGGAAAUAUGGAUACAUUGUUAGGGGCCCCGGGAAGAGCUAUUUUUUCUUUUAACAACUUUCCCACCCUGAAAUCAGCUCAACCGAAGAUAGGGUUCAACAGCUGGAAGAGCACCGCACGUCUUGCAGUGUCUAGUGCACCCUCAUUGGCCCUUGAAAAUUUGGAGGACUGAGUACAUUCCAUGCACGGUCAUACCCAUAAAUGUAGGUAACAAGGUGAACAAUGGUCAUUCGCAUCAGAUCUCCAAGGUGAACAACCUCUGGUC